This 202-nucleotide long non-coding RNA is filed under the name Elaeis guineensis (African oil palm). RNAcentral's name for it is "long non-coding RNA (EGUI_LNC066543)". Lineage: Eukaryota; Viridiplantae; Streptophyta; Magnoliopsida; Arecales; Arecaceae. The record is from RNAcentral.
CCGUAAAGAGAUGAAGAAACAACCAAGUUCUAUUUUUCAGCUUAGAUAUUUUCUUAACAAAAUUUUUCUUUCUUGAAUUUUUGUUCUUCCCUUUUGCUAUUAUUCUUGUGCUUAUUUGGUGUUCUGUUCGUUUCAUCUUGGACUGGUGCAUCAUUCACAUGAGAGAUUAUAUUUUUCUACACCAGGUAGAUUCAUGACCUCC